This is a small nucleolar RNA of Cucurbita maxima (winter squash), 81 nucleotides long. RefSeq annotates it as small nucleolar RNA Z103. The record is from RefSeq and is a predicted model, not a curated record. The transcript has a single exon. Lineage: Eukaryota; Viridiplantae; Streptophyta; Magnoliopsida; Cucurbitales; Cucurbitaceae.
AUGGAAGUGAUGAUACUUUCCCCAAACGAUCGACGCUGAUUAUACUUUGCUGGUGCUCUUAGCACUUUGAAUCUGAUCCAU